This 533-nucleotide ribosomal RNA is filed under the name uncultured bacterium. Its description in RNAcentral is "bacterial SSU rRNA". It matches the Rfam family "Bacterial small subunit ribosomal RNA", at positions 772 to 1302 of the family's 1533-position model. The record is from RNAcentral.
ACUGAAUAGAUACCCGGGUAGUCCACGCUGUAAACGAUGGGUACUAGAUUUGGUGGGUCUUGACCCCUGCUGAAAUCGGAGCUAAACGCACUAAGUACCCCGCCUGGGAAGUACGGUCGCAAGACUAAAACUCAAAGGAAUUGACGGGGGCCCGCACAAGCGGUGGAUCAUGUGGUUUAAUUCGAAGCAACGCGAAGAACCUUACCUGGAUUUGACAUCCUCUGACCGCUGUAGAGAUACAGUUUUCGUAGCAAUACGACAGAGAGACAGGUGCUGCAUGGCUGUCGUCAGCUCGUGUGGUGACAUGUUGGGUUAAGUCCCGCAACGAGCGCAACCCUUGUUCUUAGUUGCCAGCAUUCAGUUGGGCACUCUAAGGAGACUGCCGUGGUUAACACGGAGGAAGGUGGGGAUGACGUCAAGUCCUCAUGGCCUUUAUAUCCAGGGCGACACACGUGAUACAAUGGUCGGUACAGAGGGAAGCGAAGUGGUGACACGGAGCCAAUCUCAAAAAGCCGAUCUCAGUUCGGAUUGGA